This 358-nucleotide long non-coding RNA is filed under the name Felis catus (domestic cat). RNAcentral describes it as "lncRNA (ENSFCAG00000045558.2)". Lineage: Eukaryota; Metazoa; Chordata; Mammalia; Carnivora; Felidae. The record is from RNAcentral.
AUGAGAAAAACUGAGGUCAGAAAAACUGAUAGACCAUUUUAGAGGUGCAAGUAUCCUGAUGUUCAGUUCAGAAGUUGCAACAGAGUUACGAAUAAUAGUGAGUUCAAAUUUGCUUUACUACAAUAUUUGAAAAGCAGAGAUGAUCGUUUUCAAGCUAAUAAUAUAUUACUAUUACAUAGCAUUCCCUUACCAUUUCAUUUCCCUGUUCCUGUCUAUGGGAAUAUUCACGGAGCCUUCAUUAUGUAGGAACACUGAGCAUAGGCCAGGCAUUCCAGAUGGCAUAGCUACAAGCUGCAGAGAGCCACCCGAUCCACACCAGACUGCAAUAGGAGGGCAAGGGAGCCAGGACACAAAGUGA